RNAcentral lists this long non-coding RNA (380 nucleotides) under Prunus dulcis (almond). Its description in RNAcentral is "sRNA ncRNA". The record is from RNAcentral. Lineage: Eukaryota; Viridiplantae; Streptophyta; Magnoliopsida; Rosales; Rosaceae.
AUGGUUCCCAAGGGCAACGCUGUUUACAUGAGUCUCUUCAUCCUAUUGCUGUUGUUCUCAUCCAAAGUCGUGUUUGCCAGAGUUUCCCAAUUUUCAGAAACCAGUUAGUCUCUUUCCCAAAUAGUUAUAUAGAGACUAAAAAUAGUUUAGAUUAUUCAAGGCGUCACAAGGGAUUCCCAUUUUCUGAAAACAAAAGAAACCUCUCUUUAGGAGCGCCGUGUAUAUGUAUGUGUACAUCGAUCAAUUGUUUUGCAUGAUUAGUUAUUAAUGAAGUUUUGUAUUCUCAUCGCAGAAGAGAAGAUCAAUACGGAGUUUUCGAAGAUGAAGAUUAUUGACCGUAGACUAGUCGAAUCUAUAAAGCCGCCAGGCGCUCCAGGUUG